GCCUGGCUGGCUCAGUCGGUAGAGCACGCGACUCUCGAUCUCAGGGUUGUGAGUUCAAGUCCCACGUUGGGUG
This is a non-coding RNA of Ailuropoda melanoleuca (giant panda), 73 nucleotides long. The record is from Rfam. Lineage: Eukaryota; Metazoa; Chordata; Mammalia; Carnivora; Ursidae.